GAUGGUGCGGGGCGGGGCGGGUCGAAAUCCUUGCGGGUUUACGCAGGUUUGCCUCGUAGCCGCACGGUUUGCCAUCCAUGCCUGUUGGACAGAUUGUUGCUCUUGCAUUUGACUAGGGCCUGCGUGCUCACUAAUUCCUGCAUUCCUUGACACCCAUUGUUGCACUAUUCUCUUUGGACCUCUCCUUCUUCUUGCUUGUUCCUACUGAAGUUCCUUUUCCUUUUUUUCCAGCUGGCCAAUUACUUGGCAUUUUUCACAGAAUAAUUGUUUCCAAUCAUACAAGAUGGCAUGUUGAAAUGUUCUUCCAUUUGGAUCCAUUACCGUAAAUUCAUCAGGAGGGAUGUAGGAUAAAGCCAUACCAUUUUCAUCUGCUUGCAAUGCAAAUAGGUUCACCCAUGGUUGAGUUGGCUGAUUUGUCUUUGCAGCUCGCUUCUUACCUUUAGAUCCUUGUUCAGUUACAAGAUGAAGUUUCUUUGCCGCUCCUAUCGCAGACGAAGUAGAUCUGAGCUCCUUAGAAUUCUUCUGCUCACUCGAUUGUGCUGGUGUGUUGUUCUCCAAUUGCAAUUUAGAUGGUGCAGAUUGUUGUAUACUAGUUCCAAUUGAUCUUCCGAAGGAGACAAUCAGUAGCUUCUUUGGCUGGGGCGACACCCUCGUUUUCCUUCUCCCGUCCUGACGACCACCGCGGCGUUGGUUUAGCUACCAUGCGCCGAGAGCAUGAGAGAGUUUUUGGAUCGAUGUUUUUUAACAGGUUCUGCUUAAAUGUUGUAUUUCCACUCAGAUUUAUUUUCUUGUGAUUGGAGAUACGUGCUACAGAAACUAGAAAUUCCCUAUGUACUUCUUUCAUAAUUGAUUAAGUAGGUGCUUUGAUGAGUUGGAUUGUGAAACUCAA
This is a long non-coding RNA of Nicotiana attenuata, 889 nucleotides long. RefSeq lists it as uncharacterized. NCBI's taxonomy places the organism in Eukaryota, Viridiplantae, Streptophyta, Magnoliopsida, Solanales, Solanaceae. The record is from RefSeq and is a predicted model, not a curated record. The transcript is spliced from 3 exons.